GACGAACCGAGCGAACGUUGUUCGGAAUCACUGGGCUUAAAGGGCGCGUAGGCGGGUAUUCAAGUCCGUGGUGAAAUCCUCCGGCUCAACCGGAGAACUGCCUCGGAUACUGGAUGUCUCGAGGGUGGCAGGGGUAUGCGGAACUAUCGGUGGAGCGGUGAAAUGCGUUGAUAUCGAUAGGAACUCCGGUGGCGAAGGCGGCAUACUGGUCCACUUCUGACGCUGAGGCGCGAAAGCCAGGGGAGCAAACGGG
RNAcentral lists this ribosomal RNA (253 nucleotides) under uncultured bacterium. RNAcentral's name for it is "partial 16S ribosomal RNA". It matches the Rfam family "Bacterial small subunit ribosomal RNA", at positions 524 to 776 of the family's 1533-position model. The record is from RNAcentral. RNAcentral also lists the same sequence under 1 other name.